Molecule: transfer RNA, 80 nt
Filed under: Cutibacterium granulosum
Lineage: Bacteria; Bacillati; Actinomycetota; Actinomycetes; Propionibacteriales; Propionibacteriaceae
Description: tRNA-Val(gac)
Source: RNAcentral
UCGUCGUCGGCUCGGGAGAACCCGAGGUUGACGGUCUUGGAGAUGUCACGCGACCCAAGGUUCGUCGUCAUGACGAUGAC